GACGAACGCUGGCGGCGUGCUUAACACAUGCAAGUCGAGCGGUAAGGCCCUUUCGGGGGUACACGAGCGGCGAGCGGGUGAGUAACACGUGGGUGACCUGCCCUCAGCUCUGGGAUAAGCCUGGGAAACCGGGUCUAAUACUGGAUAUGACUCCAUGACGCAUGUUGUGGGGUGGAAAGCCUUGUGCGGCUGAGGAUGGGCCCGCGGCCUAUCAGCUUGUUGGUGGGGGAUGGCCUACCAAGGCGACGACGGGUAGCCGGCCUGAGAGGGCGACCGGCCACACUGGGACUGAGACACGGCCCAGACUCCUACGGGAGGCAGCAGUGGGGAAUCUUGCGCAAUGGGCGAAAGCCUGACGCAGCGACGCCGCGUGAGGGAUGACGGCCUGGUGUAACU
RNAcentral lists this ribosomal RNA (396 nucleotides) under uncultured bacterium. RNAcentral's name for it is "bacterial SSU rRNA". It matches the Rfam family "Bacterial small subunit ribosomal RNA", at positions 28 to 430 of the family's 1533-position model. The record is from RNAcentral.